GCCAGACUCCUACGGGAGGCAGCAGUGGGGAAUAUUGCGCAAUGGACGAAAGUCUGACGCAGCGACGCCGCGUGAGGGAUGAAGGUUUUCGGAUCGUAAACCUCUGUCAGGAGGGAAGAAAGCGCAUGGCGCCAAUCAGCCAUGCGUUGACGGUACCUCCAAAGGAAGCGCCGGCUAACUCCGUGCCAGCAGCCGCGGUAAUACGGAGGGCGCGAGCGUUAUCCGGAUUUAUUGGGUUUAAAGGGUGCGCAGGCGGAAGAUCAAGUCAGCGGUAAAAUUGAGAGGCUCAACCUCUUCGAGCCGUUGAAACUGGUUUUCUUGAGUGAGCGAGAAGUAUGCGGAAUGCGUGGUGUAGCGGUGAAAUGCAUAGAUAUCACGCAGAACUCCGAUUGCGAAGGCAGCAUACCGGCGCUCAACUGACGCUCAUGCACGAAAGUGUGGGUAUCGAGCAGGAUUAGAUACCCGAGUA
Molecule: ribosomal RNA, 469 nt
Filed under: uncultured bacterium
Lineage: Bacteria
Description: bacterial SSU rRNA
Rfam family: Bacterial small subunit ribosomal RNA
Source: RNAcentral